Long non-coding RNA from Alligator mississippiensis (American alligator), 12177 nucleotides. RefSeq lists it as uncharacterized. The transcript has 3 exons. The record is from RefSeq and is a predicted model, not a curated record. NCBI's taxonomy places the organism in Eukaryota, Metazoa, Chordata, Crocodylia, Alligatoridae.
CCUAUGAACCGCACUUCAUCAACCUCCGAGGUUCAGAAACUCAUGGACUCAAAAUAGACACUGGAAUUCUGACACACUACAACCUGCCGGACAUCUGACUCCCCAGAAAGACCUGCAACUUCUGUGGGUGGGUCUUUGGCUCAAGGAUUGGACUCUUAAGUCACCUCAAGACCCAUCACUGAGUUGUGGUAGAAAUCAUCUUCAAAUCAAGGGAUUGCUGACAACAAUGAAAAAAGGGGUAAGCAUAAUGCUCCCACAUACGCGAAGACUUCCACUGAUUUUAAUAGGCUUUGCCAUAUGCUCAGUCUGAGGUGACCCAGACCUUUCACUGAUGUUGCAUUGGGGUUGUGCUUUUCCGAGUCUGCAGAUGUUGAUUUGGGUGAGUGGUUUUAUGCAAACGCUAGUCCUUUGACGUUUUCAUGCUAUAUGCAGAAUUUUCUUUUAAAGUCACAUUAACAACAUUUAUUGGAAUUAGUACCAACUUUUGGGCAUAGUUAUUGCAACCUACUAUUAUUAUCUUUCCUGUUAUUAUCAUUACUACUGCUAUUACUAAGCAAACUUUCAUAGUGAACCAAAAACUGAAAAUUGAGCACUACUUCCUAGCCCAGCAGUGUGAGAAAAAGAGAAUAAGCCUAAAUCUGUUUAAGAGGAGAAGAAACCUCUUAAAAAUUCUUUAUAGAGCUAAUAAAGCGUUCUGGCUGAUUCAGUGUUAGCUGCUGACAUCAGAGACAUCAGAAUGCUCCUCAGUGCACUGAGGUGGUCCAUAGGGUUAUGAGUAAGAGUUACUCAUUUUCUAGAAUGGGAAAGCAUUUUCAAAGGUUCCUGUUUGUCAUUAUCUUCAUAUCUCUCCCUAUGCAUGUACAUGAAAAAUAUCUUUGUCUGGACUUUAUGGGCUGUCUUAUUGUAACAGCUGAGCUGAGAUGUCCAACAGUGAUGCAUUCUGAGUGUCAGCAGUGAACCUGGAACUGGCUAAAAGAUUUUGUAGGAGCUAUAAAUUCUCUCUUCCCAAAGGUUAUUUCCAUUCAUACACUGUGCAUGUGGAACUUACUUCUAUGGUCAGGUCAGUGUUUAAGGUUUUCUUUGUAACUUUCCAUUCUAAAAAGUAAAUUGAAAUCCUGUUCACCUAUUAAAUUUGAUGGUCCUGUGCAUGGGUACAGUAUUUGUUUUCUUUGGGAUUAUUUUCUGAAUUACAGUUUUCUUGAAAUGACUGAUGGCAUUAAGAUGUCAAAAAAGAACAAAGUCCAUCAAUGGCAUAUGGGCUGGUGCUUUACAGCAUAUAUAUUAAGAUAGGUACUAACACAGGUUUUACUUUGUUAAAUGGUUCCUUUAGCAUCUUUAGACAAAGUCUAGCAUUGCUUUAGGUUACAAACUUGUCACUGAAGCCUGUAGGUAGUACUUCUACACAUAACCUAUUACUAGUUUAAUUUUUAUGGCAUUAUGGUGUUUUGAUAAUGUUUCCUUUAGCUCCAUUUAUUCUCGGAGAGUUUGCUUCCUAUUGGAUGAAGUCCUAAAGAUGUUUAUGCAGGUGGCUAAUUUCUGAAAAAAGUAAGUAUUCACUGUGCAAAUGAGACUAAGCAUGAGUCCCAUGGCAACUCAGCCUCCUCCUUGGGCUGCAGCUGGAUGUAGAAAAUGGAAUGGAGAUGUGACUGGGCUGCCCCUCAGAGGAGGUGUAACUGCAGGAUCUUCACAUUAGGAUGAUCCAUGUGGUACAGGCUGCUUCCAUUGUUCCCAGUGAAAUCCUCUGGUUCACUGUCACCUUGACUAAGUAACUCAAUUUUUGUGUGUUUUGUGUCUUCUAAAAGUAGGGAUGGUGACAUGUCUCCACUUUAGUCAAGAACUUUGGAAUCUAGAGGUGAAAGAUAUUCAAGGGCAGGCUGAAAGAUCUAGACAGGAGACAGGGUAGAUUAGAAGCGUUUAUUUGGGAGAAGAGAACACCAAGGGGGAAUUUGAUAAGAGUCUUCAAAUGAGCCUUCAAAGAAGGGCCUAUCCUCCACAGUGGACACCAACUAGGAGCAAUGGCUUCAGACUUCAGGAGAGAAAAUUUAGGUUGGAGAUUAAAGAGGUAUGAAAAGUUUCAAAGCAUGCAUCUCCUCUGACUAUGAGGGUGGUCAAGUAUUGAAUGAAGCUAUCUAAAGAAACUGUAGAAUUUCUAUUCCUGGAAAUUUUCAAGAGUAGGUUAUACAGACACUUGACUCGGGUGGUAUAGUAAAGGCUGAUCCUGCCUUGGGCAGGGUGCUGGGUUAAAAGACCUCAUGAGAUCUUUUCCAGACCUACUUUCCUAUGAUCCUAUGUCAUACAAGUGCUGAGAACUGUCAUUCCUUCAGUCUUGCUGCAGCUGUUCUUUAUGCAAACAAAUCUGUUUUUAACUGGACCAUCUCAUAUAUUUUCAAAAUGGGGCUUGCAGCUGGCUUGUACUGCUAGAUUUUCAGAUGGAGGGCCUGAUUUUUUGUCUUCUGGUUGGGUUAUAGGAGAUAUACUAAUGAUUUAUUUUAGUAAAAUGCGUAAUUUCUGAAUGUAUCUGUUUAUCUACUUCCUGUGCUUUUCCUAUGAUUCCAAGGAGUUCAGCAUCACAGGAAAAUACAGGAUGGUCUCUGGAAAGGCAAUAGAAAAAUAAUUAAAUGAAGGGGGGGGGAAAAAAGUCCAGAACCCACAUUUGCCAGCAAAUUAGUAGCAUGAACUACAUAGCUCAGUCAAGGUGUACAGUGUAUAUUGUUCUUAAGAAUAUGGUUGUUAAUGUGUCAUGAUAAAGGAUAAACAGUUUGUCAGUGUAAGAAACUUUACAAUGAGGAUACAAGAAUAACAGAUUGUCAUGCACAAAAUGGUAUGAAUCUCUUUGGCUAUUUACUUUUCAUGUCUCUUUGAGCUAAAGCUCAGGACUUAUUUAGAUAUACUCCUGGAAAGCAUAACCCUUCCUUUCCUUCCCUCCCCUUUCCUAUAGAAAUAAGAAGUAGGUCACUUUUGUAGCAACAUUUUAGGGGUUUGAGAUACUGAAGAGCUUUGCGCAUCCUGGCUGCUCUGCCUGCGCUGGGAAAAUUUAUCUGGCAGUAGAUCAAAGGGAAGCUGAACCAUGCCCCUUCCUCCCAUUCCCACUUCUGCAUUUCCCCUUUUACAUUUUUGGCAAUCACAAAAAGAGACAAGAGGCAGUUGCCAGCUACCCACUCCCUUCUUUCCUAAUUUCCAAGGGGCUAGCUGGUACAGAACUUCCAAGAAACAGUUGGCACAGAACACAUGCUUACUUCAUGGUAAGAGGGACACUGGCAUGUAUAAACUUUUUUGUAGUUAUAAAAAAAUGUUUUGACUGAUGAAACAACCAAGGUAUUUCAGGUGUCUGGAAAUAAGUUGCUGGGAUGUUGUGACAUAAGGGAAACUGAGACAGUCCUGCUAGACCUAGAACAUGUCUUAUCCAGAAGCAGCCACAACUGUGCUAGUAGAAGUAGGUUUAACAAGAAAAGGUCAGACACUCCAAAAUCACUGGACCUCUUGAAAGAAAUUAGCUCCUGUUACCUUGGGGCCCUCACAGCAAGGUGAAGGCAACUUCAUCCCUCCCACCUCCAUGUAACCUGGUGUCCUGUACCAGCUGACAGACCAGUUGGAUUGAUGGUAGCCAUUAUGGUCUAGACUGCUAUUUGAAGCAACACCUGAAGCAGAAACGAGGAAAAUACCAUCAGCCCCAGAGGCUUGUGAAAUUUUGUGAGCAAUAAUUUUGCCUUGAGCCUCCGUAUCUGGUUUCCUUCAGUAUUUUUCUCUGCCUUCCCUUUGUUUCCAUCUCUUCUCUUGUCUCUUCUCUCUCAUUUUUCCCCUGGAGUGGUACCUCUCUUGCAUCUUUUACUUCAGCUCCACUUAUCCAUCCAUUUACAUAGACCAAAGAGUUAUUUGUUAGUACUGACUUUAUAUACAGGUGGAUCUAAGCUGUAAUCAAAAGUGUUCAGCACCAGCAGAAUUGAGCCAUUCCUCUUAGCUUUUGUAGUCUUAGCUGCUCAUUUUGUAGUACCAACUGGCUAGAAUUACAAUCAUGCAUCAAGAGUCUGUCUGAGAUCAGAAGGAAUUUCAGGAUACUGAAAAUGAUGAGUGGGUACCAGAGAAAGUGCCAGGUCUUUGCAGUAACCUGUGUGCCCCAUGAAGUGACUGUAAACAAAAGGAAGUUACAGGGAUAGCAGGAAGGAAAGUCAAUAAGAGAGUGGAGCUAGUAGGGAAACAACUUUGCCUAGAAGUACAGACUAUAUUUUUUUGAGUCAUAAAAAUGCUAUGUGUAAAGUACACAAGUGUGUGAUCUUGGAAACUCUUCACUGAUGCAUGUCGGCAACUUUAUCAAAUGUUUUCAGUAUUUUCAGCAAUGGGAUAAACUCACUUGACAGCCUAAUCCUUAAAUGGCCUGGUCCAAUUCUCUUUUACUGACGCAUUCUGGAAUGUUGCUCCUGACUUCAGUUAUACACAAAGGGUGCUGGCAAAAUUAACUUUUUCUUUUCUUUUUUUAAAACUUCAUAAUAUUAAUGAAUCCGACUCAUAAAAUAACAGAUUUAACAUUGAAAAGCAUUUCCAGUCUCCCCAAAUAUAUACACACAGACAGACAUAAAUUGUCUAUGAAUAGUCCUGCCACAAUCUGAAACAAUAUCCACAGAAGUCUUGUGUUCCCUUCCUCUCCUCCUCUCAGCCAGUAUUUCUUCAUUUCUAUAUGGUAAUUCCCACCUUUGUUUCCCUAUAACUGCAGAAUACCAACAAACCUCAUUAUUUUCUUUUCAUUUCUUCUUUUAGUUUUUAAAUUUAUUCUUAAGUGUUCAUUCAUGGUAUUUGCCCAUCAAUAGUCAAAAAAAGUUUCUCAAAUGUUUUGGUUCAGAGAUAUAAGCUUCUUUUUUUUAGAAAAUUCCAAAAAAAUCCACCAGAUUUCCAAAUAAGCAUCUUUUGCCUUUUCCCUUGUAGAACACUGAUUUGAUAGGGCAACUUUUCCAUUACUAAAAUGUCCUGAACUUUUUGAAAUCAGUUAGUGAUUCUAAGGGUGUCACUUCUCUUCCAGGCUUUUGCAACAGUAAUUCUUGCAGCUAGUAGAAGUGAUCAAUUUCUUAUGACACAUAUACGUUGCAGAGUUCUGAGGAAGGUUGAAUAAGAACAUGAAGGGGUUAUCUGAUAGUUGGCAUCCUGCUAUUUCUUUCAGUACAUCUCCAACCUUCUUCCAAAACAGUUUCUUGUGGUAGACAUAUUGCAGAAUUAAUCUUCCCAACUGACCAUACUCCCUCCAACAUUUGCCUGUUCCUGUAUCAUAAAUGCAUUUAAUUUUAAGUGGGGUGAGAUACCAUCAAUACAGGAAAUGAACAUAAUUUUCUUUUAUUACUGUGCAGAUGGACAUGUGAGAACCAUUAUUUCAGAUGGUAUCCCAUUUUUCACUCAUUUCUGAUCCAGUUUUGUUAACCCACUGUCAGGCUGUGGCCUUGAACCCAGGGCUUUGGCCUGCUCAGCAUAGCUGCUCCUGGACUGCUGCUACCUUGGCUGAGUACUUAGGUGGAUGCAGGUGAUUGGAACCUUCUUCCAGGGCCUCACCACCCACCCACUCUGCCAUGGAGUGGCUGGCCAGGGUCAGCUGUUCCGUCACCCCUUCCUAUAAGAAACCCUGUCUUGGAGAAGGAAGUGUCUGGGCAACAGGUUCAGUCUUGUACUCAGGCUGCUUUGCCCUUAGAUUGUACCUCUCCUGGCUCGCUGAUAGGUUGUCUGGCUGUCUGACUUGGCUUGCCCACAGACCCUGAGUUUGGCACGACCCUUUUGCGCCCUAACUGGGCUCCUGAUUUUAUCUCUCAGAUACCUGGCCUGCCCUUCUGACUGUGGACUCUGCCCAACACUCUGGAUUUCUGAUCUGGCUCCAGAGAUUGAUGUCCUAGCUUCUGGCUUCCUGGCUCCCCUAUAGUCAGGCUCUACAUAUUCCUUCUGCUCCCAGUUGCUUCUCCAGACCCUGGGUAACUCCCUGACCUGGAUGCCCAUGACCUGCUGUGACACCCACCUUGUAUGAACAGGUUUUUCUUCUAUAUGACUAUUUGCUUUAUAUAACACAGGCAAUAGUCCUGUAUGUUUAAUAGGUGUGACCAAUAUUUUCCCAAAUUCUGUCAUAUUUCUACUAAGUUACCUUUCUGUAGGAAUGUGUUGGAAAGUGUUUUAAUUGCAGGUAUUGGAAAAUGGGAUUUUCAUGUCAUCUAUAGUAUGUUGUAUUUCUUCACAAGAUCUAACUAUAUAUAUUUUUGAAUAACUGUUCUCGGUGUCAUGAUAGACUACAAAAUGUACAUGAGCCACCAAUGCGAUGCCGUAGCUGGCAGAGCUAAUCAAACACUGGCCUGCAUCUACCGAGGUAUCUCGAGCAAGGCUAAGGAUGUCAUCCUCCCUCUCUACUUGGCCUUGGUGAGACUGCAGCUGUGUCCAGUUCUGAAUGCCGCACUUCAGAAAGGACGUGGAAAAGGUCAAGAAAGUCCAGAGGUGGGCCACACGCAUGAUUGGAAGCCUAGAGACUAGGUCACAUGAGGAGAGGCUGAAACACUUGGGGACUGUUCAGCCUGGAGAACAGAAGAUUUGGUGGCAGCCUGUAAGUAUAUCAAGGGCAUACGUCAGGGCCUGGCGGAGCAUCCGUUCACCAAGGCCCCCCAGGGGAGAACAAGAAAUAUGGGCACAAGCUGAUUAAGGAACACUGCAGGCUAGACGUAAGGAAAAACUUCUUUACAAGUUGAAUGCUGAGGGUUUGGAACAGGAUCCCCCACCAGAGGUGGUGCAGUCAUCCACCCUGGUGAUCUUCAAAAAGCGUCUUGAUGCCCAUCUUGCUGGGGUCAUCUGAUCCCAGCAGUCUUUCCUGCUCAAGUGCAGGGGAGCUGGACCCAAUGAUCUGCAAGGUCCUUUUCAGCUCCUAACAACUCUGAAACUAUAUGAUAAUAAUAUGUUUCCAGUUAUUAGAGCUUUCUAAUAAAUUAUUAGGAUGAAAUUCAGUAUUAUUACAUAUAGGUGGUAGGGUGAUGGUUAUGAGCUUAAUUUGUUAUAUGUGUUAUCUCAAGUUUUCAUUGUUGCCAUCAUAAAGGGGUGAUCAUAUAGACUUUAGCCUGGAAGGUUUCUUUAGCCAUAGUAGUAUGUUAAGAUUCACUGCUGGAUGGUAUAUUUGCUGUAUUUCUACCCAGCACUUACUGUGAAUUGGUAUAAUCCAAUACAACAAACGUCUAAGUUGGUUGGCUUGGUAGUAAUAUUUAACGUUUGGAAGCAUCAGUCUCCCCCUUUCACUAAGGUCUUUGCAGGAUGUGACUUUUAAAUCUAGGUUCCUAAUUUUCCCAAAUAAAUUUAUUUAUCAUAGUCUGCCAUUCAUCUAAGAUUUGUUGGCAAUAUAAUAGACAGAGUUUAGAACAGAAACUCAAUUUGGGCUAAAAUAGUUGUUUUGACUGAUGCACUUUUAUCUAACUAUGAAAUUUCAAAUUUUGACCAAUUUUCUAAGUCUACUUUGAUUGUUUCAAUUAAAGGAAUAUAAUUAAAACUGUAAAAGUCUUGCUAUUUUUUAGUAAUAUUCAUACCUAAGUAUUUUAAUGGAGUUACCUACUUAUAUCUAUAGCAUUUUUUAAAAUCUCUUUGUGUGUCUGGUUCUACACUAAUGUCUAGGAGUUCUGUUUUUUUCCCCAUAGUUAAUUUUAAAUCCUGAAACGUUGCCAUAUUUUAUUUCUUUUUCAAUGCCAGAAGAGGAAAUGAAUGAAGAACAUGGGUUUGAGGGAAAGCAUGUGAAGCUGAAAGCUUUGCAUGUGUCAGUAUUGUUUUAUUUAAUGGCCUCAGCACCUGUCCAGUUCUAUUCUUGAAAUGACACUAAUUUAUUGUUUUUAUCGGUAAAUGAAAAUAAUGAAUCAUUUGUAAUUGAAUAAUAAGAGGAAGGAUUUACAAUGUGGUAACAGAAACAAUUUUGGAUUAAACUUUAAAACUUUCACCUCUCAUUUGAAGACUUGUCCAAAGUAAAAGCCAAGUUGUUUUCAUUAAGCUAGUUUCUAUUUCCUUUUUUUUUUUUCCCCAAGGCUUCUUAACCUAGGGCAUAGGUCCUAGGCUCAGGUGAGGCAAAAGCUUCUUCCUCUAUUCACUCCUUGCACUUCAAGUCCUCCACACCCAAGGGCAGAUGCAGAAGAAGGGUGGUGGUGUGGUCCCAACCCUCUCUUGGACCAUGUUAUAGGAGCAGCAAUUGGAGUCUUUUUAAAAAUCCCUGAAUCAGGAAAAGCAAGGGCAACAUUGGACCCCUGCUAAACCUGAUGGGACAACUGACAACCGGCGCCCAGGAAAAAGCCAACCUAUUAAAUGGGUACUUUGUGUCAGUCUUUCAUCAGUCCCAUGGGACGGCCCUGCCCACUACGGGACAGGGGGGCCUGGGUGAGGGAGAUUCCCUGCCCUCCAUCAAUGCUGACCUCAUGAAGGAACACCUUGAGAGGCUGGACACCUUCAAGUCAGCUGGCCCUGACAGUCUCCAACCCAGGGUACUCAAGGAGCUGGCGAGCAUCAUAGCCCAGCCCCUGGCACGGAUCUUCGAGAACUCCUGGCACUCUGGUGAAAUGCCUGAAGAUUGGGAGAAGGCCAGUGUGGUGCCUAUCUUCAAGAAAGGCAGGAAAGUAGAUCUGGCAAACUUACAGGCCCAUCAGCCUGACCUCUAUCCCAGGGAAAGUCUUGGAAAAGAUUAUCAAAGAGGCCAUUCUCAACAGACUGGAUGAUGGCAAGUUCCUGAGGGAUAGCCAGUACGGGUUUGUUGCGGGUAGGUCUUGCUUGACCAACCUUAUUUCCUUUUACGACCAGGCGACCUAUCACCUGGACAAGGGAGAGGAGAUUGACGUCAUAUAUCUUGACUUCAAAAAAGGUAUCCCAUGAUCACCAAUUGGCAAAACUGGCCAACCAUGGCCUCAGGUCCACCAUGAUCAGCUGGCUAGGGAAUUGUCUCCAUGGUCAGACCCUGAGGGUGGUGGUUGACGGAAGUCAAUCGUUGUGGUGCUCUGUGAUCAGUGGGGGUCCCCCAAGGCUCUGUCCUUGGACCUAUCUUGUUCAACAUUUUCAUUAAUGAUGUGGAAAUUGGAGUCAGAAGUGGACUGGCCAAGUUCGCUGAUGAUACCAAACUCUCGGGUAAAGCAUCCAUACCCGAGGACAGGACGGCGAUCCAGGCUGACCUUGACAUGCUCAAGAAAUGGGCGGAUGAGAACCUGGUGGUGUUUAACACCGAAAAAUGCAAGGUUCUCCACCUUGGAAGGAUAAACCUGCAGCAUCCUUAUAGGCUCAGCAGUGCUAUGCUGGCUAGCACUACGGAUGAAAGGGACUUGGGGGUCAUGAUUGACCACAAGAUGAAUAUGAGCCUUCAAUGUGAUGCUGCAGCUAGUAAAGCAAGCAAAACGUUGACUUGCAUCCAUAGAUGCUUCUCAAGCAAAUCCUGGGUCAUCAUUCUCCUGUUGUACUUGGCCUUGGUGAGGCCACAGCUGGAGUACUGCAUCCAGUUUUGGGCUCCUCAAUUUAAAAAGGAUGUGGAGAAGCUUGGGAGAGUGCAGAGAAGAGCCAUGUGUGUGAUCAGAGGUCAGGAAAACAGACCUUAUGUUGACAGUCUGAGAGCUAUAGGACUCUUUAGCCUGGAAAAGUGCAGGCUCAGGGGCGAUCUGAUGGCCACCUAUAAGUUUACCAGGGCUGUUCACCAGGAUCUGGGGGGACAAUUGUUCACCAGAGCACCCCAAGGGAUGACAAGGUUGAAUGGUUAUAAACUUCAGCAAGACCGUUUCAGGCUGGAUAUAAGGAAGAAUUUCUUCACUGUCUGAGCCUCCAAGGUCUGGAAUAGCCUGCCACCGGAGGUGGUUCAUGCACCUACAUUGAAUGUCUUCAAGAGAAAUUUGGAUGUUUAUCUUGCUGGGAUCCUAUGACCCCAGCUGACUUCCUGCCCCUGGGGCAGGCGACUGGACUCAAUGAUCUUCUGAGGUCCCUUCCAGCCCUAAUGUCUAUGAAAUCUAUUUAUACAACCAUUAACUGUGUUGCCACAUGGACCCUGACAAUCUGCAUUACAGCCUAUAUCACUAAAGCUGUAAGGUGCUAUAGUAUUUAACUAGCCAAAUCAAAUAUCUGAAAAGACCUCAUGUAGAUGAAACAAAAGUGGUUAACUAUAGAAGAAAAAGAAGUGACACACAAGGUAUGAAAAGCUUUGGCUUGAGAGUGUUCUUUUUCUAGUCGGCUCAGUAAAGGUGAGAUCUGUAAAUCUGUUACUACUAAUGUAACAUAUAUUUCACUGGUAUGGGCUAUAUCUUAUAUUUGUGUCAUGAGGAUGAAUUGGGUAACUAAUGCUUUUCCAUUUCAUUGUAAGCAUAACAGAGGAACUAGUGGAUUGUGUAGUGUUUGAACAGGAAUUACAAAUUUACUGGUUCCACACACCUUCACUGCUAUUUUUUUUAAUGUGUUGUAACCAGGGCAACAAACAAAUAUUUUUAAACAGUCAUAUUUUCAGCACCAACUUUCCUUCCUAUUCAGAAAAAAAAUUAGAGGAAAGAAUUUUUAGGGAACCAUCCUUUUUUAUUGGUCCUUUUCUCAUCUUUUCAAAUUUGGUCUUACUGGUUUUAUGCUCUGAUGCAUUUUCAGGUGAAGGAUGUAUGUCACUCAUGGAGAGACUGGAGUGCUGAUUACUUGCUCCAUUCUUCCUCUGUGUCUCAUAGGGGCCAGGGUAGAGAUGGCUGAAAUGGAACACAGUCCCAAAUCAUAAUCUUCCCCCUGUUUUUUUCCUGCUGCAACAAUUCAUUGUCUCAAACAACAGGCUAGACUGUAAUAUGAUAACCUCUCCUGGAAUUAGCAUGAAAUAAAAUGAAUUAUUCUAUAAAAAAUAUGCUCUAUAAACUUGUAAAAGUAUCGCUGACUGGAAUAAUAAAGUAUGACAUCAAAGCAUAGAAUUUAUGUAAGGUAUCACAACUGCUUCUUUAGCAGCUGGUGUUUUCCUUGCUAAUUUACUUGGUAAAGAAAUUUCUUUUUCUGAGGGAUAUAUUCAGCAGAGAAAUGUGAAGGGGAUUCUUGGGAAUGUCCACAUUUAUCAGGAGGCACUUGCAAGUUUUGGUCCCUAGAGAACACUUAUUUUAAUUCUCAAACUUAAAAAAAAAAUCAUAUAAUGCAAAUAAGUUGAAAAAAUACAAAACUUAUCUUGGUCUUUCUAGCUGUUGCUAUGUUUUUGAGUAAUACAUUGUCUAAGCUAUGGCAGUCCUAUGAUGUAUUAAAUUAAUAUAUCAUAAGAAUGCCAUAGCUUUGAUGAUGUAUUAAUGUAAUACAUCGUUAAGGUGCCAUUGCUUUUAUGAUAUAUUACCAACUGGUUGGGUCAACACACAGGAAUCCAUGUGUAGGGUGCAGGAAAACUGCAAAUGUCUCUAAGUCCUAAAAAACAAUAAAAUGUAUCCAAAAUAUUUUCUACAUAAGAACAGUUUAGUUGGGUUUGGAGCCAUAUGGGUUUUGCAGAAAUGAUUGAAUUGAUUGGGGAUGUGAGACCUACAUCUACACUCUGUUCUGGGUAAAAAAAGUGUUUGAAAUGUAUGUGAGAGAAAGAAGGAAACAGCCUAAUCCUACUCUCAUUAAAGAUAGCGGCAAAAUUGGGCAGACAGGUUUAGAAUAUCUGUGAACCAACCUGAGCCUCUUUUCAGAACUAAUAUGAAUAAGUAAGGCUCCUUUCCUUUGUUUCGUUUUUGUUUUGAAAGGCCGCAUUUUCAAGCCUACCCUAUACUAUGCACACAGUUCCAAUUGACUUCAGUGGAAGCUGUGUGUGUCUGGGAGUCUUCUCUUAAUGCAUCUGCAAUUACUAGUUUCAGCUGGAUACAAAAGUGAAAAUUCUUCUCUUCUCUAAGACUGGUUAUUGCUGUAUAUAUUGAUCAUGACUGAAAUUGGCAAGUAGUGACGUCUUGCAGAAAAGUCUGAUCUAACAACAUUUCCAGAACAAAUUGCAUCCAAGGUACCUAAACUAAAUUGCUGAUGUUUUGAGGUUCUCCCCAAAUUUGAAGUAAUUUUUAAAAAAAAAGUAUGAAUUGGUUACCAAAUUUGACCAUAAAAUGUAUUAGAUGAUGAAAUAAAAUCCCACCCUAGUUUAAAAAAAAAUGUAUUUUUUUGCCCAACACUAUAUUUGUUCUUAUAAGUAUAAAAUGUGCUUUGUUUGGGAUCCUUCUGUUUGUUGAGAAUUGUUGUUAAUAAAAAUAUUUUUGUGACGUG